CGGGGUAGGAGUAACGCGUGAGGAACCUGCCUCAAAGAGGGGGACAACAGUUGGAAACGACUGCUAAUACCGCAUAAGCCCACAGGUCGGCAUCGACCAGAGGGAAAGGAGCAAUCCGCUUUGAGAUGGCCUCGCGUCCGAUUAGCUAGUUGGUGAGGUAAUGGCCCACCAAGGCAACGAUCGGUAGCCGGACUGAGAGGUUGAACGGCCACAUUGGGACUGAGACACGGCCCAG
RNAcentral lists this ribosomal RNA (235 nucleotides) under uncultured bacterium. Its description in RNAcentral is "partial 16S ribosomal RNA". It matches the Rfam family "Bacterial small subunit ribosomal RNA", at positions 104 to 334 of the family's 1533-position model. The record is from RNAcentral.